UGGGGAAUUUUGGACAAUGGGCGCAAGCCUGAUCCAGCAAUGCCGCGUGCAGGAUGAAGGCCUUCGGGUUGUAAACUGCUUUUGUACGGAACGAAAAGCCCUGGGUUAAUACCCUGGGGUCAUGACGGUACCGUAAGAAUAAGCACCGGCUAACUACGUGCCAGCAGCCGCGGUAAUACGUAGGGUGCGAGCGUUAAUCGGAAUUACUGGGCGUAAAGCGUGCGCAGGCGGUUUUGUAAGACAGAGGUGAAAUCCCCGGGCUCAACCUGGGAACUGCCUUUGUGACUGCAAGGCUAGAGUACGGCAGAGGGGGAUGGAAUUCCGCGUGUAGCAGUGAAAUGCGUAGAUAUGCGGAGGAACACCGAUGGCGAAGGCAAUCCCCUGGGCCUGUACUGACGCUCAUGCACGAAAGCGUGGGGAGCAAACAGGAUUAGGUACCCUGGUAGUCCACGCCCUAAACGAUGUCAACUGGUUGUUGGGCCUUAACUGACUCAGUAACGGAGCUAACGCGUGAAGUUGACCGCCUGGGGAGUACGCCGCAAGGUUGAAACUUAAAGGAAUUGACGGGGUCAUAGCUGUUUCCU
This 584-nucleotide ribosomal RNA is filed under the name uncultured bacterium. Its description in RNAcentral is "partial 16S ribosomal RNA". It matches the Rfam family "Bacterial small subunit ribosomal RNA", at positions 355 to 1375 of the family's 1533-position model. The record is from RNAcentral.